Non-coding RNA from Gracilariopsis chorda, 81 nucleotides. NCBI's taxonomy places the organism in Eukaryota, Rhodophyta, Florideophyceae, Gracilariales, Gracilariaceae. The record is from the annotation of a GenBank genome assembly.
GAUGACGUGGCCGAGUGGUUAAGGCGUUUGACUGCUAAUCAAAUCUCCUCGGAGGCGAGAGUUCGAAUCUCUCCGUCAUCG